UGGGAACACAGGCUGACCCCUGGGUCUGAGGAGAGGGUGGAGGGAGGCCUUUGGCCUCGACCUUGAAGAGCGUCUCCCUUCACCUUGGAUCCAGUGUGAAGCAUCUGGGCCUGCAUCUCGCUGUCUUCCAGAAAAGCAGGCAGGAAACAAGCGUGAGAAGGCCUGAGAAGAGGGCUAGUCAGCCUGGAGGGGAAUCAGGUGGGCGAAAAUGAAAAUGAAUUUUCCUUUAUGUUCCUCUUGGGUUUCCUUUCAUGCUAUUACUGAAACCAGGGUCAAGAGGCCAUCUAGUUCAUAACCCAGGAUCAACCCACUCCGGAAGCCUGUAAGGACCAGUAGGGGAGACUGUUCUUCCUUGGUGCCCCACACUGGUGUUGUCACACUUUCCAACAGCAAUAAAGCAGGCUGCUUCUCGUCCUCUGUGGAGUGGAUCCUCCUGGGCUGGGUCCUUCUGCAUGCUCAAAGCCGGCUAAUAAGGGACCCCUGAACCUGUGUGUGUGAAUACAAGUUUUAAUGGUACUAUAGAGAUAUAAUUCAUAUGCCACACAAUUCACCCUUUGAAGUGCACAGUUCAAUGGCUUUUGGUAUAUUCAUGGCUGUACAACUAUCACCACUAUCCCAUUCUGAACAUUUUCAUCACCCCAGAAAGAAAUCCCACAUCUCUUAGCUAUCACCUCCCCGAAUCUCCCCCAGGCCACCAGGCCCAGGCAACCAGUAAUCUGCUCUCUGUCUCUACAGACUUGUCCGUUCUGAACAUUUCAUAUAAAUGGAAUCAUACAAUAUAUGUUUUUUCUGACUGACUUCUUUCACUUAGCUCAGUAUUUUCAAGGUUCAUCCAUGUUGCAGCGUGUGUUGGCACUUCAUUCCUUUUUACGAUGAAUAAUGUUCCAUUUUGUGGAUGAACCACAUUAAUUUAACCAUUCCUCGUGGACAGUUGAGUUGUUUCCAUUUUUGGGCUAUUAUGAAUAAUCUGCUAUGAACAUUUGUGUACAAGUUUCUGUGUGGACACACUUUCAGUUCUUUUGGGUAUAUACCUAGGAGUGGAAUCUCUUGGUCAUGUGAUAAACUCUGUGUUCAAUCUUUUGAGGAACUGCCAGACUGUUUCCCAAUGCACCAUUUCAAUGCAGCAUUUUGCAUUCCUACCAGCCAUGUAUGAGAGUUCCAGUUUCUUCAUAUCCUCAGCAACCCUCGUCUAUCAUCUUUUUCUGAUUAAAGCCAUCUUAGUGAGUGUGAAGUGGUGUUUCACUACAGUUUUGAUUUGCAUUUCCUUGAUGUCUUGAGCUUUCGUUUUUGAGAGAUUAAACCUGUUUUAGAACUUUAAAACUGGGGCUGGCCCGAUGGCCAAAUGGUUAAGUUCACACGCUUCACUUCAGCGGCCCAGGAUUUCGCCAGUUUGAAUCCUGGGCACAGACAUGGCACUGCUCAUCAGGCCAUGCUGAGGCGGCAUCCCACAUAGCACAA
RNAcentral lists this long non-coding RNA (1458 nucleotides) under Equus asinus (donkey). Its description in RNAcentral is "lncRNA (ENSEASG00005024304.1)". The record is from RNAcentral. Lineage: Eukaryota; Metazoa; Chordata; Mammalia; Perissodactyla; Equidae.